GGGGACUAAAUCAGAAUGUCAACGGAAAGAACAUUUUUGAAGUGACAGAGGAAAUGCGCAAUGGAUUUUCUGUGCUUGCUGCUGUAUUUGUAGCAGGCAGCUUCAAUAUUACCGACACAGACACUGGUGCAUCUGUAGACAUCAGUGAGGAG
Long non-coding RNA from Haliotis rubra (blacklip abalone), 152 nucleotides. RefSeq lists it as uncharacterized. The transcript is spliced from 3 exons. Lineage: Eukaryota; Metazoa; Mollusca; Gastropoda; Lepetellida; Haliotidae. The record is from RefSeq and is a predicted model, not a curated record.